CAGGCUUAACACAUGCAAGUCGAGGGGCAGCAUGGUCUUAGCUUGCUAAGGCCGAUGGCGACCGGCGCACGGGUGAGUAACACGUAUCCAACCUGCCGUCUACUCUUGGACAGCCUUCUGAAAGGAAGAUUAAUACAAGAUGGCAUCAUGAGUCCGCAUGUUCACAUGAUUAAAGGUAUUCCGGUAGACGAUGGGGAUGCGUUCCAUUAGAUAGUAGGCGGGGUAACGGCCCACCUAGUCUUCGAUGGAUAGGGGUUCUGAGAGGAAGGUCCCCCACAUUGGAACUGAGACACGGUCCAAACUCCUACGGGAGGCAGCAGUGAGGAAUAUUGGUCAAUGGGCGAGAGCCUGAACCAGCCAAGUAGCGUGAAGGAUGACUGCCCUAUGGGUUGUAAACUUCUUUUAUAAAGGAAUAAAGUCGGGUAUGGAUACCCGUUUGCAUGUACUUUAUGAAUAAGGAUCGGCUAACUCCGUGCCAGCAGCCGCGGUAAUACGGAGGAUCCGAGCGUUAUCCGGAUUUAUUGGGUUUAAAGGGAGCGUAGAUGGAUGUUUAAGUCAGUUGUGAAAGUUUGCGGCUCAACCGUAAAAUUGCAGUUGAUACUGGAUAUCUUGAGUGCAGUUGAGGCAGGCGGAAUUCGUGGUGUAGCGGUGAAAUGCUUAGAUAUCACGAAGAACUCCGAUUGCGAAAGCAGCCUGCUAAGCUGCAACUGACAUUGAGGCUCGAAAGUGUGGGUAUCAAACAGGAUUAGAUACCCUGGUAGUCCACACGGUAAACGAUGAAUACUCGCUGUUUGCGAUAUACAGCAAGCGGCCAAGCGAAAGCGUUAAGUAUUCCACCUGGGGAGUACGCCGGCAACGGUGAAACUCAAAGGAAUUGACGGGGGCCCGCACAAGCGGAGGAACAUGUGGUUUAAUUCGAUGAUACGCGAGGAACCUUACCCGGGCUUAAAUUGCAGAUGAAUUACGGUGAAAGCCGUAAGCCGCAAGGCAUCUGUGAAGGUGCUGCAUGGUUGUCGUCAGCUCGUGCCGUGAGGUGUCGGCUUAAGUGCCAUAACGAGCGCAACCCUUGUUGUCAGUUACUAACAGGUUCCGCUGAGGACUCUGACAAGACUGCCAUCGUAAGAUGUGAGGAAGGUGGGGAUGACGUCAAAUCAGCACGGCCCUUACGUCCGGGGCUACACACGUGUUACAAUGGGGGGUACAGAGGGCCGCUACCACGCGAGUGGAUGCCAAUCCCCAAAACCUCUCUCAGUUCGGACUGGAGUCUGCAACCCGACUCCACGAAGCUGGAUUCGCUAGUAAUCGCGCAUCAGCCACGGCGCGGUGAAUACGUUCCCGGGCCUUGUACACACCGCCCGUCAAGCCAUGGGAGCCGGGGGUACCUGAAGUGCGUAACCGCGAGGAGCGCCCUAGGGUAAAACUGGUGACUGGGGCUAAGU
This 1439-nucleotide ribosomal RNA is filed under the name uncultured organism. RNAcentral describes it as "16S ribosomal RNA". It matches the Rfam family "Bacterial small subunit ribosomal RNA". The record is from RNAcentral.